AACGAACGCUGGCGGCAUGCCUAACACAUGCAAGUCGAACGAGACCUUCGGGUCUAGUGGCGCACGGGUGCGUAACGCGUGGGAACCUGCCCUUAGGUUCGGAAUAACUCCCCGAAAGGGGUGCUAAUACCGGAUAAUGUCUUCGGACCAAAGAUUUAUCGCCUUUGGAUGGGCCCGCGUUGGAUUAGCUAGUUGGUAGGGUAAAAGCCUACCAAGGCGACGAUCCAUAGCUGGUCUGAGAGGAUGAUCAGCCACACUGGGACUGAGACACGGCCCAGACUCCUACGGGAGGCAGCAGUGGGGAAUAUUGGACAAUGGGCGAAAGCCUGAUCCAGCAAUGCCGCGUGAGUGAUGAAGGCAUUAGGGUUGUAAAGCUCUUUUAACCGGGAUGAUAAUGACAGUACCGGGAGAAUAAGCGCCGGCUAACUCCGUG
Molecule: ribosomal RNA, 433 nt
Filed under: uncultured bacterium
Lineage: Bacteria
Description: partial 16S ribosomal RNA
Rfam family: Bacterial small subunit ribosomal RNA
Source: RNAcentral